This 253-nucleotide ribosomal RNA is filed under the name uncultured bacterium. Its description in RNAcentral is "partial 16S ribosomal RNA". It matches the Rfam family "Bacterial small subunit ribosomal RNA", at positions 524 to 776 of the family's 1533-position model. The record is from RNAcentral.
UACGUAGGUGGCAAGCGUUACUCGGAAUCACUAGGCGUAAAGCGCAGGUAGGAGGUUUGGUAAGUCUGUUGUGAAAGCUCCCGGCUCAACUGGGAGAGGUCAACGGAAACUACCAGGCUAGAGUGUGGUAGAGGAAGAUGGAAUUCCCGGUGUAGCGGUGAAAUGCGUAGAUAUCGGGAGGAAUACCUAUGGCGAAAGCAGUCUUCUGGACCAUCACUGACUCUGAUCUGCGAAAGCUAGGGGAGCAAACAGG